CAGAGCCCUGGCCUGGGCCAAAGGGAAGCCCAGGCCUGGGGGGCUUCCUCACAGACUCACAGCAGAGGCCUGCCACCUUCUCAGGCUAGUGGAGCAGACUCUGGAAUCCUGCCUGGGAGCCCUGGCUGGCCUGCCCAGUAGCUGCUCGGAGUCACCUCUGCAGGCGUCUUAGGGAUGGAGCAGGAAGCAGCUCUGGUCAGGCUGGCCUUGGGCAGCCCUCUCACAAGCCGGGAGGGGGUGAGAUGUGGCCCCAGGGUCCCAGGCCCAGGAGGCAGCUGUCCCCGGCCUGGAAGGUCAUCUGGAAUUUUCCACAGCCAGGAGGAAGGGGAGGGAGUGGCCGGCCUCCCAGAGCCCCAUCUGGCGGCCAGGCCUGGAAGCUCUGAGGUUGCCUUUGAAGGAGGCUGGGGUGGCGGUGGAUAAACCAGUAGCCUCUGGACCCAGGGACGGUCCCCCGCCCCGACCUUCCUUUUCUGUGCCUCUCCUCCGAGGCCUGCAGGCAACGAGCACUAAGGAUGCAUGCCGUGCUGGGAGCCAGUCUUAUUUCACAAAUGGACGCACGGGCGACAUCCACUGAGGUGGCGUGUGUAUUUUCUAGUCACCAUUCAGCCGCCCAUGGUCACGAGCUGUGUCGGCGCCCCAGGUCCUGGGCUGGACGCCGGAACGAACGCGCAGAAGUACCGGAAAGAAGGGAGAGAGAGAGAGCCAUUUCCCAGGAGUUGCCCUGGACAUGUGGGCACAGGGCAUGGGGCUGUGGGUUUCCUCAAUCGCUACGUCAUGACACGGAUGCCCCACAGCCACUUCUUCAGGUCCGAGGCGCCAGGGGAGGCAGCCCACAUUAUCCACGGUGUGUUCCUCUGGCAGUGGCUGGGCUGCAGGUUAGGGGUGCUCAAGCCACAGCCUUCUCUCCGGCUUCUGCUCUGGCACCUCCCUUGGGACCAGACAUGUCUAGAGGACAGAGAAAUUGAUCAUGACUUUGAGUCACUCCUGUGUCUCAGAUGGGUUCAAGUUGGUGGCACAAAGUCCCUUUAGAUUCAAGUGCCAGAGAAGGUAGCUUUGCAGUGCAGCUUUGAUGCCUGCUCAAAUGAUGUGGCCACUGGCCUAACGUGUGGUCUUGGGAAUGUCUUUGACUUUCACACCUCAGUGUUCUCAUCUGCAGAAUGGGACUCACAAUAAUCCCUGGUGACCAGGAACCAAUAAGCCUGUGAAACGGGCUCAGAACGGGGCCGGCACCAGGUACAUGCUGAGUCAUCAGCCACCGCUGGCAUCCCCCAAGACCCUCGAAGAUGUGAGACGGAAACUAUGUCCCAACAAGCCUCCGUGGCAGUUCAAGCGGAUGGAAACCACCACAGGCUAGAAGUACAUUUCCCGUGACCCCAAGGUCAAGGGUCCACAACCAAGUUAGCACCCAUGCAAUUUUUCCAUCUCUUCACAACCUGGAUCUUCAACACCUGAGUUGCCACUGCUUUCUUUUUUUAAAAAAAAGUUGGAAUAUAAUUUUAUUUCUAGCACAGUAAUUUUAAUGAACAUACGGUUUAUUUAGACUAAGAAAUGACGGGUCCAGCUGAUGCACAGUAUUCUGCUCAUUUCAGGUGUACGACGUGGAGAUUCGACAUUUAAACACACCACAAGGACCAGUGGGCUGGACCUCGUUUCCAUCUGUCCCCCGUACAAACUUCUUACUGUAUUAUUGACCCUAUUUGUGCUAUAUAUUAACCCCCCUUGGCUAAUUUAUUUCCGGACUGGAAGUGUGUUCCCUUUAGCCCCCUUCGGUCAUUUUGCCCAACCCUCACCCGCUCUCCGCUGGCGACUGCCCACGUGUUCUCUGUAUCUGUGGGUCUGUUUCUCUUUUGUGAUGUUUGUUCAUUUGUUUGUCAGAUUUCACAUACAAGUGAAAGAUGUCUUUCAUAUUCUGAAUUUGUCUUUCUCUGACUUAUUUCACUUAGUAUAAUAUCAAGGCUCAUGCUGUGUGUGUGUGUGUGUGUGUGUGUGUGUGUGUGUGUGUGUACGUAUACACCACAUAUCUUCUUUAUCUAUCCAUCUGCUGAUGGACACACACAGUUUGGCUAAUGGUAAGUAAUGUUGCAAUAAACAGAGGCGUACAUGUAUAUUUUUGAAUGAG
Molecule: long non-coding RNA, 2119 nt
Filed under: Sus scrofa (pig)
Lineage: Eukaryota; Metazoa; Chordata; Mammalia; Artiodactyla; Suidae
Description: lncRNA (ENSSSCG00070009074.1)
Source: RNAcentral